RNAcentral lists this ribosomal RNA (454 nucleotides) under uncultured Parabacteroides sp. RNAcentral's name for it is "partial 16S ribosomal RNA". It matches the Rfam family "Bacterial small subunit ribosomal RNA", at positions 341 to 792 of the family's 1533-position model. Lineage: Bacteria; Pseudomonadati; Bacteroidota; Bacteroidia; Bacteroidales; Tannerellaceae. The record is from RNAcentral.
ACGGGAGGCAGCAGUGAGGAAUAUUGGUCAAUGGGCGGAAGCCUGAACCAGCCAAGUCGCGUGAAGGAUGAAGGUAUUAUGUAUUGUAAACUUCUUUAGACGUAGAGAAAUAAGGCGCUCGUGAGCGCUGAUGCUAGUAUACGUAGAAUAAGGAUCGGCUAACUCCGUGCCAGCAGCCGCGGUAAUACGGAGGAUCCGAGCGUUAUCCGGAUUUAUUGGGUUUAAAGGGUGCGUAGGCGGAAUGCCAAGUCAGCGGUGAAACGCACGCGCUUAACGCGUGACCUGCCGUUGAAACUGGUAAUCUGGAAUACGGAUGCUGUGGGAGGAAUGUGUGGUGUAGCGGUGAAAUGCAUAGAUAUCACACAGAACACCGAUUGCGAAGGCAUCUCACAAAUCCGUCAUUGACGCUGAGGCACGAAAGUGUGGGGAUCAAACAGGAUUAGAUACCCUGGUA